Molecule: non-coding RNA, 93 nt
Organism: Xylariaceae sp. FL0255
Lineage: Eukaryota; Fungi; Ascomycota; Sordariomycetes; Xylariales; Xylariaceae
Source: the annotation of a GenBank genome assembly
AGUCGCGUGUUCUAAUGGUUAUGAUUUCUCGUUCACAUUAUGUGUACAUCUAUUGUUCCGAGAAGGUUCCGUGUUCGAUCCACGGCGUGACUA